AAUCUAGCAUAUCAAUAAGCGGAGGAAAAGAAACUAACAAGGAUCCCCUAGUAACUGCGAGUGAAGCGGGAAAAGCUCAAAUUUAAAAUCUGGCGGUCUCUGGCCGUCCGAGUUGUAAUCUAGAGAAGUAAUGCCCGUGCUGGACCGUGUAUAAGUCUCCUGGGAUGGGGCGUCAUAGAGGGUGAGAAUCCCGUCUUUGACAUGGACUACCAGUGCAUUGUGGUAUGCUCUCAAAGAGUCGAGUUGUUUGGGAAUGCAGCUCAAAAUGGGUGGUAAAUUCCAUCUAAAGCUAAAUAUUGGCGAGAGACCGAUAGCGAACAAGUACCGUGAGGGAAAGAUGAAAAGAACUUUGGAAAGAGAGUUAAACAGUACGUGAAAUUGCUGAAAGGGAAACGCUUGAAGUCAGUCGCGUUGGCCGGGGAUCAGCCUUGCUUUUGCAUGGUGUACUUUCUGGUUGACGGGUCAGCAUCAAUUUUGACCGCUGGAAAAAGACCUGGGGAAUGUGGCAGCUUCGGCUGUGUUAUAGCCCCUAGUCGCAUACAGUGGUUGGGAUUGAGGAACUCAGCACGCCGCAAGGCCGGGUUUCGACCACGUUCGUGCUUAGGAUGCUGGCAUAAUGGCUUUAAGCGACCCGUCUUGAAACACGGACCAAGGAGUCUAACAUGCCUGCGAGUAUUUGGGUGGAAAACCCAAGUGCGUAAUGAAAGUGAAAGUUGAGAUCCCUGUCGUGGGGAGCAUCGACGCCCGGACCAGAACUUUUGGGACGGAUCCGCGGUGGAGCAUGUAUGUUGGGACCCGAAAGAUGGUGAACUAUGCCUGAAUAGGGUGAAGCCAGAGGAAACUCUGGUGGAGGCUCGUAGCGAUUCUGACGUGCAAAUCGAUCGUCAAAUUUGGGUAUAGGGGCGAAAGACUAAUCGAACCAUCUAGUAGCUGGUUCCUGCCGAGUUUCCCUC
This 953-nucleotide ribosomal RNA is filed under the name Agaricus catenocystis. Its description in RNAcentral is "partial large subunit ribosomal RNA". It matches the Rfam family "Eukaryotic large subunit ribosomal RNA", at positions 31 to 974 of the family's 3401-position model. The record is from RNAcentral. Lineage: Eukaryota; Fungi; Basidiomycota; Agaricomycetes; Agaricales; Agaricaceae.